Long non-coding RNA from Xenia sp. Carnegie-2017, 299 nucleotides. RefSeq lists it as uncharacterized. The transcript is spliced from 4 exons. The record is from RefSeq and is a predicted model, not a curated record. Lineage: Eukaryota; Metazoa; Cnidaria; Anthozoa; Malacalcyonacea; Xeniidae.
GAAAACAUUGUUACCAAAAUAUGGUCUUAAAAGAUCUGACAUAUUCAUAACUAGCAAGCUUGUAAUUGGUGAAGAGAGGACACGUAUUCCUUAAUAGACAAGACGACACUGCUUCUGCCUACAAGAAUGAAGAAGACAUCGGAAAAAGCUUGAAAACAUUGUUACCAAAAUAUGGUCUUAAAAGAUCUGACAUAUUCGUAACUAGCAAGCUUGACACUGCUUCUGCCUACAAGAAUGAAGAAGACAUCGGAAAAAGCUUGAAAACAUUGUUACCAAAAUAUGGUCUUAAAAGAUCUGAC